This is a long non-coding RNA of Lathyrus oleraceus (garden pea), 736 nucleotides long. RefSeq lists it as uncharacterized. The transcript has 2 exons. The record is from RefSeq and is a predicted model, not a curated record. NCBI's taxonomy places the organism in Eukaryota, Viridiplantae, Streptophyta, Magnoliopsida, Fabales, Fabaceae.
UUGGGAUCCAAAGAGCAAAGGCCGAAGGAGAGGAGACCCUUCAGCAAGGUUCAUUCCAUUCUUCCCCUCGUUUUCAACUCUCUCUCUCUCUCUCACUCUCAAUUCAACCUCAAUUCAAUCAAAAACUUAAACAAACUUCGAAAUCGGGCCAAGAAAGAGAAGAACCCCAGACUACCAUAAGUGAAACUAAACACCAACAGAGCUUCAAACCAAACUCAAACCUUAAGGGUUUGGUUCGGAUACAAUAAUGCUACAUUGCAGUAAAAGAAUUCGAGCAAGAAGAAGAGGAAUUUCGAAGUAAAUACCAACCUACAAGGUGGAGGUAGCAUUGUAACACGUUGAAUGUAAAGCUGAUUAAGAUGGAGCAAGAAAACCAGGGGAUCUUCAACAAGGGCUGGUAUGGAAUGGCCAUGGCUUGGUGUGAGACAACGUUUGGCAUGACAUUCAAAUUUGAAGACUUUGGAGGCUUUAGAGGCUUGGAGGGAUAUCUUGUGAAUGAAGACAAGUAGAAUAGGAUUUAGGUUUAGGUAGUUGACUUUGGUUACCGUUUGACCAAAAAGUCAAUAGUUGACCAAAAGUCAAUUGUAGGUCAAAUAUGUAGUUUUAUGUAGAAUUUUGUAAUUUGGAUUUUUUUAAUGAAACUUGAUGAUUUGUAAUAAAAAAUGGGCCUUUUGAAUGAAUUGUGUAACUGUGCUUUCAGAAAAUAUGGAUUCCCUCCAAAUUCCAAUUUUGAAUA